CUUCCUUCUAAAGGUUAAUCCUGCCCAGUGAACUAUUCAACGGCCGCGGUAUUUUGACCGUGCAAAGGUAGCAUAAUCAUUUGCCUUUUAAUUGUAGGCUAGUAUGAACGGAUAAACGAAGUUAAACCUGUCUCCCUAUUAUAAUAUGUAAACUAGCCUCUAGGUGAAGAGACCUAGAUACAAAAAAAAGACAAGAAGACCCUGUUGAGUUUUAUAAUUAUAUAUUUUUAAUAUAUAUAAUUAUUUGGUUGGGGCGACUAAGGAACACACCCAUCUUCCCUUUUAUUUCAGAUACACACAUUUAUCCUUGACCCACUUUUAUGAAUACAGGAAUAAACUACCACAGGGAUAACAGGCUAAUCUUUCUAGAGAGCUCAUAUUGAUAGAAAGGAUUGGCACCUCGAUGUUGGCUUAGGGUUACUGAUUGAUGCAGAAAUCAAUUACAGUUAGUUUGUUCAACUAUUAAUACCCUACGUGAUCUGAGUUCAGACCGGA
RNAcentral lists this ribosomal RNA (495 nucleotides) under Laetmonice sp. n. XW-2020. Its description in RNAcentral is "partial large subunit ribosomal RNA". It matches the Rfam family "Bacterial large subunit ribosomal RNA", at positions 1839 to 2620 of the family's 2925-position model. Lineage: Eukaryota; Metazoa; Annelida; Polychaeta; Phyllodocida; Aphroditidae. The record is from RNAcentral.